UGGGGAAUUUUGGACAAUGGGCGAAGGCCUGAUCCAGCAAUGCCGCGUGUGUGAAGAAGGCCUUCGGGUUGUAAAGCACUUUUGUCCGGAAAGAAAUGGCUCUGGUUAAUACCUGGGGUCGAUGACGGUACCGGAAGAAUAAGGACCGGCUAACUACGUGCCAGCAGCCGCGGUAAUACGUAGGGUCCAAGCGUUAAUCGGAAUUACUGGGCGUAAAGCGUGCGCAGGCGGUUGUGCAAGACCGAUGUGAAAUCCCCGAGCUUAACUUGGGAAUUGCAUUGGUGACUGCACGGCUAGAGUGUGUCAGAGGGGGGUAGAAUUCCACGUGUAGCAGUGAAAUGCGUAGAGAUGUGGAGGGAAUACCGAUGGGCGAAGGCAGCCCCCCGGGAAUAACACUGACGCUCCAUGCACGAAAGCGUGGGGAGCAAACAGGAUUAGAUACCCUGGUAGUCCACGCCCUAAACGAUGUCAACUAGUUGUUGGGGAUUCAUUUCCUUA
Molecule: ribosomal RNA, 498 nt
Filed under: uncultured bacterium
Lineage: Bacteria
Description: partial 16S ribosomal RNA
Rfam family: Bacterial small subunit ribosomal RNA
Source: RNAcentral